Molecule: ribosomal RNA, 378 nt
Filed under: Spirotrichea sp.
Lineage: Eukaryota; Ciliophora; Spirotrichea
Description: partial small subunit ribosomal RNA
Rfam family: Eukaryotic small subunit ribosomal RNA
Source: RNAcentral
AUUCCAGCUCCAAUAGCGUAUAUUAAAGUUGUUGCAGUUAAAAAGCUCGUAGUUGGAUUUCUGACAGGGGGCCGAACACCACUGUAGUGAGUGUUUUGGUACCUGUCAUCCUUCUGUUAACCCUAGCGUCAUUCAUUUGUCGUUGGGCGGACCAGAUACUUUACCUUGAGAAAAUUAGAGUGUUUCAGGCAGGCCUAGCCGGAAUACAUUAGCAUGGAAUAAUGGAAUAGGACUAUAGUCUCGUCGUUGGUUACGUGGACUGCAGUAAUGAUUAAUAGGGAUAGUCGGGGGCAUUCGUAUUCAAACGACAGAGGUGAAAUUCUUGGACCGUUUGAAGACGAACUAAGGCGAGAGCAUUUGCCAAGAAUGUUUUCAUCA